CCUACGGGGGACAGCAGUGAGGAAUAUUGGUCAAUGGGCGCGAGCCUGAACCAGCCAAGCCGCGUGAGUGAAGACGGUCCUAUGGAUUUUAAACCUCUUUUGUCGGGGAGCAAAAGACGCCACGCGUGGCGUUCCGAGUGUACUCUCUGAAAAAGCAUCGGCUAACUCCGUGCCAGCAGCCGCGGUAAUACGGAGGAUGCGAGCGUUAUCCGGAUUUAUUGGGUUAAAGGGGGGCGCAGGCGGAAGAUCAAGUCAGCGGUAAAGUUGAGAGGCUAAACCUCUUCUAGCCGUUGAAACUGGUUUUCUUGAGUGAGGGAGAGGUAUGCGGAAUGCGUGGUGUAGCGGUGAAAUGCAUAGAUAUCACGCAGAACUCCGAUUGCGAAGGCAGCAUACCGGCGCUCAACUGACGCUCAUGCACGAAAGUGUGGGUAUCGAACAGGAUUAGAUACCCGAGUAGUC
RNAcentral lists this ribosomal RNA (459 nucleotides) under uncultured bacterium. Its description in RNAcentral is "partial 16S ribosomal RNA". It matches the Rfam family "Bacterial small subunit ribosomal RNA", at positions 338 to 795 of the family's 1533-position model. The record is from RNAcentral.